Long non-coding RNA from Equus caballus (horse), 4785 nucleotides. NCBI's taxonomy places the organism in Eukaryota, Metazoa, Chordata, Mammalia, Perissodactyla, Equidae. The record is from Ensembl.
CCCGCCGUGGACAACCUCCACUCCGGGUGCCGACUCCAGGCGGCGGAAGCCUCUGGAUUGGCUCACCUGGGCACCUGCUGUAGCUCCUGUGCCACCUGGCCUGGUAGUUUCCCAGCCCCCUCCGUUCUGGAGGGCUUCUCAAAACACCACGGAGGGACCUCUGAGUCCCCUAGUCGGUGCGCCCCAACAUCCCUGCCCCUGGCGGUUCCCUCCGCGUGGGGCCAGGCCUUUACCUGCUGGUCCCCAUUUCACCUUGGCAUCCUCACGUCCUCGGCCCUACUCAGACCACGGCAGGAUCACCGGGGGUGGGAAGGGUCCAGGGCAGUUGGACACGUGAACUCCAAGAUGCCUCCACAGGGUGGGCGAGGGGUCAGUGUUCGUUAACUGUCUCGUGGGCCUCAGGAAGCUCUUUCUGAGCGGGGUGGCAGCAUCCCCAGGGGUGCAGGACCACAUCCUCACCCUGGAGGUCUCACCACCGUGCAUGCCUCUCCCCUGUGGGAUUCUCUGUCAAGACGGGGGUCUCUCUGGGCCUGGACCACUGCACAGGCCUCCGUUGGUUCUCCCUCCACUGCCUCCUCCUCCUUCUGCCAGGGAGAACUCCCCAGAGUGCAGUCUGGCUCUCUCUGCACAGCCUGGAGCCCCUCUGUUGCACCCCUCCCCUCGUGGCUGGCUCCAAGAUGGUGACUAGUGUCCCAAGGCCCUGGACCGGCCACCCUCAUUCCUGCCACUUCCUGCCUUUCAUGCUUCACAGUAUGUCCCAGUUAGCAUCCCUCUGUCCUCCCACGGGGAGCUGAGUCCCGGUGGUCUCCUCUGUGCAGCCUGCCCCUAGCCUCCUGCCGUCCAGGGUCCAGACCUCCGUCCCCAGUCCCCGUGCCCUGCAUAUCCUUUUUUCAGGACACUCCACACAGUGUCCUGUUCCCCCUGCAAGUGGCAGCCCCCUUUCUAGAGCAGGAGUUCAGGAUUCUAGAGGGGAUGAAAUGUCCCUGGUCCCCCAGUCUAGCCCCCAACUCUUCCCAGCCAGCUUCAAUCAGCCACCCUGUCAGGUUUUCUGCCUUAGCUUUCUGCCAUCCAAAGUGAAUUGAGGUUAAUGUCUACUUCCCUCUCCCCUUAGACUGUAAGAUUUCUGAGGGCAGGCAUUUUUUCUGUCCUGUUACCUGGUGUGUCCCCAACCCCAGGACCCAGCCAGGCCCAUAGCAGAGGAAUGAUGGGUGUUUGUUGAUUGACUGUCAGACUCCCUAAGGGCAGGGACCUUAUGAAGUUAACCCCAGGAAAGUGCCAGGCCCAAAGGAGGCAGGCAAGAAGACUUGGUGAAGAGCCCAUGAAUAUGGUAAUCGGCUUUAGAAAUUCUUUGCAUUUGUUAAAAGCUGUUUGGUUUUCCGGCUUUUUCUGUCCUUUCCAGGAUGUGAUUUCAGAGUCUGAGGUUUGCUGCAAAAGAGACAGGUGAGCUGGUUGUGGGCUCUUCUUUCCACCUCCCAAGGGGUCCCCGGGGCCCUGAAAGGAGUGACCAGCCCCCAUAUGAUCCCGCAGACACCAACUGAGUGCGCCCCCAGCUUCCGGCCGAUCGGUGGCCGGCAGAGCCAGGUGCUCUGGGGAACUCCGUCUGCGACGGGCUGGAGCCUGGUGUCAGGGCUAAUAUUUUAUGCAUGGAACUGACUAAAUGGGAACAUUUGGAGAUGAAAAUUGCUUUAAUGCAGCCACACAUCUUUGUAAUAUAUUAAAUGUAUGUGGGGGGUGGGAGGCGACAUUACCCUUCCUUAAUAACUCCAAUGUAACCGUCCCCACACCACGGCAUUAACAAGCGCGGGCACCCCCCCGAGUCCGCUAUAGGCCACCGCUUGGGUACAUCAGUCACCACUUGAGAACUAUGCAUGAGACAAAGUGUCAGCCCAGGGUAGCAGGCAUUGCAGCGGGAUGUUCCAGACUCAUCUGAGACCCAAAGACAGUGACCCCAUGCUGCUGAGUGCAGAAUUUCAUUAAAAGCCAAAUUACUGGUUUAUCUGUUGUUUGAGGAGAAGAGAAAAUAAACAAAGAGCUUUUCUCAUCUGACAAGCUGAAUGAGAACGUCGGUCCCCCCAGCGGCCAGGAUGAGAUUCCCGGGGACCCUGAGCCGGAGGUUCAGAGCCCUGGGCCCACCUCUGAGGUGCUGCGUAAACCCAACCGUGGCUCCAAGUUCACGUGCACGCCUUUCCUGGUGCCUGCGUGGGCUGGUGUCCCAGCUCCCCGCACUGUGUCCCCUGGACACGGUUCCACAAGAAUCUGGAGGGCGUUGGGCAAAUCGGACCCACGUUCCCAUCCUCUUGUCAUUUUCAAGGGAGAUAAGAAAAAUCAUAGCUGCCCCAAAUGGGCUUUUGCCUUGUUCCUGGGCCCGCCUCCACUCUGGGGUGUUUACUCAUGCUCCUCCUCAGCCCUUGGGGGCAGGUUCUGUUUCACGGAUAAAGAAAUGGGGCACAGAGAGGUUGAGUGACUUGGCCAAGAUGAUCCAGCAGGGCGGCAGGGCAGGGUCUGGCUCCAGGCUGCUUGUUCUUAAUCAAGCUCGCUGCCUGCUGUUGCUUGCGAGCCAGCGCCUGGCUUCAGGAACUGUCCCUGUGUCCUAGAAGAAGGUGGGCCCGUCAAAUCUCCCCAAAUUCUCUUUGCACGAUGGGGUAGGCUCCCUUUUCCCCACACUUAGCUUGCUAUACUUUUCAUGGCCUUUAUCCCUGCACCCACCUGGGGUCUCCGGUGGCAUCGCCCACAAAAUGGGGGGUUGCAGCUGGGUGCAGCCCCGUGGCCCCUGGCUGUGCCUGGCCUGGGGGAGGGCUGCUGGCUCUGUCGGAAGCCUGGGUCCAGGGAGAUCUAGGUACUGAGACCGCAUGGCCCCGCGUCUUGCGGCCACAUUGAGCGCGUCUGACGGCGGUAUUUGCUGCCUCGUUGAGUGCAGAUCUAGUCAGGGCGGCCCGUGAGCUGGAACAGGGCGCAGACUCGCCAGCGCAUCUCUGCAGGGCGGGGCUCCCCCCAGGUCCCCCCCACCCCCGGCUUCCGGCUUGUACACCUCCUGGCACUGCACGGAGUGGUGGCUGGUGCCGUCCUGGAGACCACCCCCUACCCCUUCCCCGAGGUCACAGUCUCAGUGGGCCCCCGAGGAUGCAAAGAACCCCUAAAUGUCCAGGCUGAGUGAGACCUCUCGUCCCGUUGCCCCUGCCCCCUUGCACCUCCUUACAGGCAAGACCACGGAGCUCCAAGAGCUCUGCCAUGGCUUCUUCCUGUGGGUUGUCUCUAACUUUGAGGUUGAGACUUGAAAGGAAACAGGCUGCAAACGGCGCCCCUUGUGCUAAACCCCACCAGGACUCCACGCCUCGCCUGAGGGCGGUCCCAGCCGCUCCCCAAGCGCACUGUUGAACCCCUCAGUCUGGAAGUUCCUCGGGAGCCCCAGUGAGGUCGUCCGCCCCAUUAGACCCCCUGCCUAGAAAAUCCUGCCAUUUCCUACAGCUCCUUGGAGCUCCCUUCUGCUUGCGAGAUACAGUGCCCCGCGGUUCACGAAUCAUUGAAUUAAGCUAACCCGAUCUUGACAUUUCCUCAGCUGAAUCUAGGUUUUUAGUAAGACCCGCCUCUGGUGAAGAAGUAGGUUCCCUCCUUGUGACAGAGGGGACCCAGCAGCCUGGGGCUGUAGAAGCACCUAGUGGGACUCAGUACCCGCGGCGGGGAUGCUGCCUCCUGCCGCUGGGCUUCCCGAAGCCAUGGCCUUGACUCCGCGGAGCCGGCUCACACCGGGAGCGACUACGCAGGAGGCGCUGGGAGAAUGUUUGUGGAAUGAAUAAAUGAAAGCAUGCUCUGAGGGAAUAAAGAAGCAGAGACAGGAAGAAGAAUCUGGGGUAGACAGACAUGAAUCUCCGCCAAGGCCAUGCAGUCGAGGCCGCUGUGAAGACCCCGUGGAGGCAGAGGGGCCAUUUGUCACCAGCAGGGACAGGCCCUAGGGCCGGGAAGCACGGGCGCCAUGCGGUCUCGUUCAUCAUCAUCCCAUUAUUAGGGAUGGUGCCAUCUUACUCAGGACGUGGAGGACGCAUGCGAAGCGCGCUGCCCGCCAGCCCGCGGAGUGCGCGCAGGGCUGGGGCUGGGGAAGGACCCCGAGGAAGGGCAGGUCUGGGGCCCGGAAGGCCUGGUGUGGGCAGCAGGGAGGACAGGAGCCACAUUGGGCCACGUGGCCAGUCCCCGGGUAGGACUUUGGUGCCUUUAUGGCUGCAGGACCCAAAUGGGAGUGUGAUGGGACCUCUCAAAGAACUCUUCGGGUUCUGGGUGCUGAAGUUGUUUUCAUAUCUACAAGUCCCAGUGCCAUGCCUUUGCUCAAGCUGUGGCCCUGCCUGGAAUGCCUGUCCCUCCUUAUCCUUGAAGGCUCUGCUCCAGUGCUACCUCCUCCAGGAAGCCUUCCUUGAUCCACCUCUAUACAUACAACUCCAAUAUGCAGUCAGUUAUCAGUCCUCUGAUCCUUUGAUCAAUGUCUCUCCCUGCCCAGCUUUCAGGCUGCACAGAGGCAGGGACUGUUUCUGGUUUGGUCACCAUGGGACACAGAACCUAGCCCGGGGAAGGCGCCACAUGAUGCUCAUUGGCCUUGUCUUCCCUUUGCAGGUGUGCUGGACCAGGCGCUUGCCUGUGCCCAGUAUACAGACAUCCCAUGCAUGGAGCCUUUGGUUGACCCCAACCAUGAGCCAAGGGCUGGACCAGAGGAGCCUACACCAGACCUCUUGUGCCUGGAGAGACGUGCGCUGUGAGCUGGGGAGCCCAGCCUGAUCCUGGAGGAGUUCCUCGGUUCUG